Schistocerca piceifrons (Central American locust) is the source of this 628-nucleotide long non-coding RNA. RefSeq lists it as uncharacterized. The record is from RefSeq and is a predicted model, not a curated record. The transcript has 3 exons. Lineage: Eukaryota; Metazoa; Arthropoda; Insecta; Orthoptera; Acrididae.
CUGGGCUGCCACCGGAACGAAGUGACGCCGUCGCCAUUGCCGACGCCCACGAGGAGCCCGCUGUGCUGGCAGUGGGGAUACCGCUGGCCACGCCACUGGGAACCACAGGCCGAACCGCGCACGCCCAUUCCGCCCGCCGGCACCUACUCAGGUCCAAGGAUUGUGUAUGAUAGCGCAUUUCUUCUGCAGCUGAGAAACUCUCCAUUAUCACAGAAACCACCAAAAGACCUCGCAAGUUUUCCAAAUGACAUUGUUAAGGGGACUAAUGCCUCGUCCUCAGAGGAGACCCCCACAGGGUCGCAACUUUCUCCUUCACCUCCUAGUCAGCAGUGACCCUGCUGCAUGGCGAAAUAAAAACCAAACUCUACAUUUAAAGCAUCUAUCAGUUUUGCUCUUAGUGUUAUUGACUUUGGUGUUAAGGAAAAGUUUUAGGGUUGAAAGGGGUGAAAUCUCUCCCAGAAGAGCAAUAUUGGAUUGUGUGUUCGAGGAAAAGUCCAACCACUUGUCUUAUAUUGCUUUACCUUUCUUUUCCUGAUAGCACUCGUACAGAUUGUAAAUAUUUACUCCUGUCAAUAAAAGACUAUUCUUUUGUUGUUUUACUUUUCUGUCAAGGUAACACACUUUUCAA